RNAcentral lists this ribosomal RNA (435 nucleotides) under uncultured bacterium. RNAcentral's name for it is "partial 16S ribosomal RNA". It matches the Rfam family "Bacterial small subunit ribosomal RNA", at positions 29 to 507 of the family's 1533-position model. The record is from RNAcentral.
AACGAACGCUGGCGGCAUGCCUAACACACGCAAGUCGAACGAUUGCCUUCGGGUGAUAGUGGCGCACGGGUGCGUAACGCGUGGGAAUCUGCCCUUAGGUUCGGAAUAACAGCUGGAAACGGCUGCUAAUACCGGAUGAUAUCGCGAGAUCAAAGAUUUAUCGCCUGAGGAUGAGCCCGCGUUGGAUUAGGUAGUUGGUGGGGUAAAGGCCUACCAAGCCGACGAUCCAUAGCUGGUCUGAGAGGAUGAUCAGCCACACUGGGACUGAGACACGGCCCAGACUCCUACGGGAGGCAGCAGUGGGGAAUAUUGGACAAUGGGCGCAAGCCUGAUCCAGCAAUGCCGCGUGAGUGAUGAAGGCCCUAGGGUUGUAAAGCUCUUUUACCCGGGAAGAUAAUGACUGUACCGGGAGAAUAAGCCCCGGCUAACUCCGUG